AUUGAACGCUGGCGGCAUGCCUUACACAUGCAAGUCGAACGGCAGCACGGGUGCUUGCACCUGGUGGCGAGUGGCGAACGGGUGAGUAAUACAUCGGAACGUACCUUAUCGUGGGGGAUCACGCAGCGAAAGUUGCGCUAAUACCGCAUACGCCCGGAGGGGGCAAGCGGGGGACCGUAAGGCCUCGCGCGAUUAGAGCGGCCGAUGUCUGAUUAGCUUGGUGGUGAGGUAAAAGCUCACCAAGGCGAUGAUCAGUAGCUGGUCUGAGAGGACGAUCAGCCACACUGGGACUGAGACACGGCCCAGACUCCUACGGGAGGCAGCAGUGGGGAAUUUUGGACAAUGGGUGCAACCCUGAUCCAGCAAUGCCGCGUGAGUGAAGAAGGCCUUCGGGUUGUAAAGCUCUUUUGUCAGGGAAGAAACAGCAGCUCUAACACAGUCUGCGAAUGACGGUACCUGAAGAAUAAGCACCGGCUAACUACGUGCCAGCAGCCGCCGUAA
Molecule: ribosomal RNA, 501 nt
Filed under: uncultured bacterium
Lineage: Bacteria
Description: partial 16S ribosomal RNA
Rfam family: Bacterial small subunit ribosomal RNA
Source: RNAcentral